Molecule: ribosomal RNA, 301 nt
Filed under: uncultured bacterium
Lineage: Bacteria
Description: partial 16S ribosomal RNA
Rfam family: Bacterial small subunit ribosomal RNA
Source: RNAcentral
CAGUCGCCGCGGGAAUACGGAGGGGGCUAGCGUUGUUCGGAAUUACUGGGCGUAAAGCGCACGUAGGCGGCUCGGUAAGUUAGAGGUGAAAGCCCGGAGCUCAACUCCGGAAUUGCCUUUAAGACUGCCGAGCUAGCAGGUGAGAGAGGUAAGUGGAAUUCCGAGUGUAGAGGUGAAAUUCGUAGAUAUUCGGAAGAACACCAGUGGCGAAGGCGGCUUACUGGCUCAUACUGGACGCUGAGGUGCGAAAGCGUGGGGAGCAAACAGGAUUAGAGACCCCCGGUAGUCCCUGUCUCUUAUA